CACUCUCAUUUUUUUCACCAAAGUUUCUUUCUCAUUUUCUCUAACAUAGUAUAAACUCAUCUCAGAAGGAAAAAAAAAAGAAAACAGAAAAGAAAAGGUGCCAUGAAGGGUGGUUUUGUCUGCAUUGUUGUUCUUCUCACUCUUCUUUUUGUUCCGGCAGUCAUGCCUGCAAGGCACAUUGCUCGGCAACACUUGCAUGGUAGCCAUCGUCAUCCAACGCUACCGAGCACAGUAGAAGGGGUGAAGGUGAAACCGAAUAAUAUGAAGGUGGAGAGAAGGCCAUUCCCAGUAAUGAAGCAUAGGAGAGCCGACCCGCUCCAAAUUGCAGGUUCAAGGUUGCCUGAUUGCUCACAUGCUUGUGGAUCAUGCUCACCAUGUCGACUGGUCAUGGUGAGCUUUGUUUGUGCUUCACUUGCAGAGGCUGAGACAUGUCCUAUUGCUUAUAAAUGCAUGUGUAAAAACAAGUCUUAUCCGGUUCCAUGAUCAUUUUCUUUCUUUUCAUUAUUAGUAUUAUUUUUUUUUCUAGUUUUAAUCCUUUUUCUUUGUAAAAUAGUAAUCCUAGUCCUUUGUGUUUCUAGUUUCCUAUUAAAUUUUUGUUUGUACUGUGUAGUAAAGGCUUCCUUUGUGUAAUCAAAGAGUUUCUAGUUUCUUCGA
Molecule: non-coding RNA, 654 nt
Organism: Camellia sinensis
Lineage: Eukaryota; Viridiplantae; Streptophyta; Magnoliopsida; Ericales; Theaceae
Source: RefSeq, a predicted model, not a curated record